Molecule: ribosomal RNA, 450 nt
Filed under: uncultured bacterium
Lineage: Bacteria
Description: bacterial SSU rRNA
Rfam family: Bacterial small subunit ribosomal RNA
Source: RNAcentral
GUGGGGAAUUUUGGACAAUGGGCGCAAGCCUGAUCCAGCAAUGCCGCGUGAGUGAAGAAGGCCUUCGGGUUGUAAAGCUCUUUUGUCAGGGAAGAAACGGUGGACUCUAAUACAGAUCACUAAUGACGGUACCUGAAGAAUAAGCACCGGCUAACUACGUGCCAGCAGCCGCGGUAAUACGUAGGGUGCAAGCGUUAAUCGGAAUUACUGGGCGUAAAGCGUGCGCAGGCGGUUUGGUAAGACAGAUGUGAAAUCCCUGGGCUCAACCUAGGAAUUGCAUUUGUGACUGCCCGGCUAGAGUGUGUCAGAGGGGGGUAGAAUUCCACGUGUAGCAGUGAAAUGCGUAGAGAUGUGGAGGAAUACCGAUGGCGAAGGCAGCCCCCUGGGAUAACACUGACGCUCAUGCACGAAAGCGUGGGGAGCAAACAGGAUUAGAAACCCUGGUAGUCC